AUUGAACGCUGGCGGCAGGCCUAACACAUGCAAGUCGAGCGGAUGACGGGAGCUUGCUCCUUGAUUCAGCGGCGGACGGGUGAGUAAUGCUUAGGAAUCUGCCUAUUAGUGGGGGACAACAUUCCGAAAGGGAUGCUAAUACCGCAUACGCCCUACGGGGGAAAGCAGGGGAUCUUCGGACCUUGCGCUAAUAGAUGAGCCUAAGUCGGAUUAGCUAGUUGGUGGGGUAAAGGCCUACCAAGGCGACGAUCUGUAGCGGGUCUGAGAGGAUGAUCCGCCACACUGGGGCUGAGACACGGCCCAGACUCCUACGGGAGGCAGCAGUGGGGAAUAUUGGACAAUGGGCGGAAGCCUGAUCCAGCCAUGCCGCGUGUGUGAAGAAGGCCUUUUGGUUGUAAAGCACUUUAAGCGAGGAGGAGGCUACUUAGAUUAAUACUCUGGGAUAGUGGACGUUACUCGCAGAAUAAGCACCGGCUAACUCUGUGCCAGCAGCAGCCGCAG
This 501-nucleotide ribosomal RNA is filed under the name uncultured bacterium. RNAcentral's name for it is "partial 16S ribosomal RNA". It matches the Rfam family "Bacterial small subunit ribosomal RNA", at positions 30 to 523 of the family's 1533-position model. The record is from RNAcentral.